This 336-nucleotide long non-coding RNA is filed under the name Oryza brachyantha (malo sina). RNAcentral's name for it is "long non-coding RNA (OBRA_LNC003550)". Lineage: Eukaryota; Viridiplantae; Streptophyta; Magnoliopsida; Poales; Poaceae. The record is from RNAcentral.
UGUAUUUUGUGAAUGUUAGGACUUAGUGAAAUUGUUACAUGGGGAAAGAUAUUUUGGGUAUACAGGACAUGACUUUUAGAUAGUAUGUCCAGAUCAUUUUGUGAAUGUUAGGACAUAGUGAAAUGCUUGAAAAUAUGAUGUGGUCUAUGAUGUAUGCUAGUUUGCACCUAUGUUGUGCAAGACUUCUAUGAACUUGGCAUGUAUUUUGGAACCUACCUAGCAGAGUUGAAUGAUAUGGUUUAAUGCUUUAGUAUGUUCAUGAUGUGCUUCUAUUAUUUAUGUACAAUAAUAUAUCAAAUAAGUGACGAGGGUGAAUUUUCAAAUUAUUUCAUGACG